This 469-nucleotide ribosomal RNA is filed under the name uncultured bacterium. RNAcentral describes it as "partial 16S ribosomal RNA". It matches the Rfam family "Bacterial small subunit ribosomal RNA", at positions 28 to 506 of the family's 1533-position model. The record is from RNAcentral.
GACGAACGCUGGCGGCGUGCUUAACACAUGCAAGUCGAACGGUGAACGAGGGAGCUUGCUCCCUCCGGAUCAGUGGCGAACGGGUGAGUAACACGUGAGCAAUCUGCCCCGAACUCUGGGAUAAGCGUUGGAAACGACGUCUAAUACCGGAUACGACGCGGGAGGGCAUCCUCUCCGCGUGGAAAGAACUUCGGUUCGGGAUGAGCUCGCGGCCUAUCAGCUUGUUGGUGAGGUAACGGCUCACCAAGGCGACGACGGGUAGCCGGCCUGAGAGGGUGACCGGCCACACUGGGACUGAGACACGGCCCAGACUCCUACGGGAGGCAGCAGAGGGGAAUAUUGCACAAUGGGCGCAAGCCUGAUGCAGCAACGCCGCGUGAGGGACGACGGCCUUCGGGUUGUAAACCUCUUUUAGCAGGGAAGAAGCGAAAGUGACGGUACCUGCAGAAAAAGCACCGGCUAACUACGU